AGGGAAUCUUCCACAAUGGACGCAAGUCUGAUGGAGCAACGCCGCGUGAGUGAAGAAGGUCUUCGGAUCGUAAAGCUCUGUUGUUGGUGAAGAAGGAUAGAGGCAGUAACUGGUCUUUAUUUGACGGUAAUCAACCAGAAAGUCACGGCUAACUACGUGCCAGCAGCCGCGGUAAUACGUAGGUGGCAAGCGUUGUCCGGAUUUAUUGGGCGUAAAGCGAGCGCAGGCGGAAUGAUAAGUCUGAUGUGAAAGCCCACGGCUCAACCGUGGAACUGCAUCGGAAACUGUCAUUCUUGAGUGCAGAAGAGGAGAGUGGAACUCCAUGUGUAGCGGUGGAAUGCGUAGAUAUAUGGAAGAACACCAGUGGCGAAGGCGGCUCUCUGGUCUGCAACUGACGCUGAGGCUCGAAAGCAUGGGUAGCGAACAGGAUUAGAUACCCUGGUAGUCCAUGCCGUAAACGAUGAGCGCUAGGUGUUGGGGACUUUCCGGUCCUCAGUGCCGCAGCAAACGCAUUAAGCGCUCCGCCUGGGGAGUACGACCGCAAGGUUGAACUCUAAAG
This 559-nucleotide ribosomal RNA is filed under the name uncultured bacterium. RNAcentral describes it as "partial 16S ribosomal RNA". It matches the Rfam family "Bacterial small subunit ribosomal RNA", at positions 356 to 907 of the family's 1533-position model. The record is from RNAcentral.